GAUCCGGCUCAGGAUGAACGCUAGCGGCAGGCUUAACACAUGCAAGUCGAGGGGUAUAGUUCUUCGGAACUAGAGACCGGCGCACGGGUGCGUAACGCGUAUGCAAUCUACCUUUUACAGAGGGAUAGCCCAGAGAAAUUUGGAUUAAUACCUCAUAGUAUGUGAGAAUCGCAUGGUUUUCAUAUUAAAGUUCCAACGGUAAAAGAUGAGCAUGCGUCCCAUUAGCUAGAUGGUAAGGUAACGGCUUACCAUGGCGACGAUGGGUAGGGGUCCUGAGAGGGAGAUCCCCCACACUGGUACUGAGACACGGACCAGACUCCUACGGGAGGCAGCAGUGAGGAAUAUUGGACAAUGGGCGCAAGCCUGAUCCAGCCAUGCCGCGUGCAGGAAGAAGCAUCUAUGGUGUGUAAACUGCUUUUGUACGGGAAGAAACACUCCUACGUGUAGGAGCUUGACGGUACCGUAAGAAUAAGGAUCGGCUAACUCCGUG
Molecule: ribosomal RNA, 490 nt
Filed under: uncultured bacterium
Lineage: Bacteria
Description: bacterial SSU rRNA
Rfam family: Bacterial small subunit ribosomal RNA
Source: RNAcentral